AACCAUAGAAACCUGCGGAGUACCUGCGGAGGGAUCAUUACACAAUACAAUAUGAAGGCUGUCCGCAGCUGGAGUAUUUUAUUACCCUUGUCUUUUGCGCACUUGUUGUUUCCUGGGCGGGUUCGCUCGCCACCAGGACCACCAAAUAAACCUUUUCUAUGCAGUUGCAAUCAGCGUCAGUACAAACAAUGUAAAUCAUUUACAACUUUUAACAAUGGAUCUCAGAUCGGAAGAGCACAC
RNAcentral lists this unclassified non-coding RNA (240 nucleotides) under soil metagenome. RNAcentral's name for it is "partial contains 5.8S ribosomal RNA, internal transcribed spacer 2, and large subunit ribosomal RNA". The record is from RNAcentral.